Molecule: non-coding RNA, 135 nt
Organism: Gossypium raimondii (Peruvian cotton)
Lineage: Eukaryota; Viridiplantae; Streptophyta; Magnoliopsida; Malvales; Malvaceae
Source: Rfam
UAUUAAGAAUUCUAUCCUUUUUUCCUCUUAAAAACUAGCAUGGUUGACAGAAUAACCAGACAGUUACAUACAUAUAUCUUAUUCUAACGUAUAAUGAUCAGUUUUUAAUAGUAAAAAUGGAUAGAAUUUUUAACA